RNAcentral lists this ribosomal RNA (2758 nucleotides) under Candidatus Omnitrophota bacterium. RNAcentral's name for it is "bacterial LSU rRNA". It matches the Rfam family "Bacterial large subunit ribosomal RNA". Lineage: Bacteria; Pseudomonadati; Candidatus Omnitrophota. The record is from RNAcentral.
CAAAGGGCUUAUGGUGGAUGACUUGGCACAAACAGGCGACGAAGGACGUGGUAAGCUGCGAUAAGCCUCGGGUAAUCGCAAACAGAUUAAGAUCCGAGGAUUUCCGAAUGGAGCAAUCCACUGGGAUUAAUCUCCCAGUAUCCCGAUCUGAAAAUUUAAAAAUAGGGUCGGGAGGCAAAACCGGGCAAACUGAAACAUCUCAGUAGCCCGAGGAAUAGAAAAAGCCAUUGAUUCCCUCAGUAGCGGCGAGCGAAAAGGGAAUAGCCUAAACCCUGCAGCAAUGCGGGGUGUUGCGGGACCAGAUCUGACCGCAAGGUCGGCUUUGCGUAUAUUCAUAGUUGAACAGCCUGGAAAGGCUGACCAAAGAAGGUGAUAGUCCUGUAAGUUAAAUGAAUAUACCAAGGCUGGAUUUGGCACCCAAGUACAACGGGACACGUGAAACCCUGUUGGAAUCUGGCCUGACCAUGGGCCAAGGCUAAAUACUAGUUUGUGACCGAUAGCGCAAAAGUACCGUGAGGGAAAGUUGAAAAGAACUCCUUUAAGGAGAGUGAAAUAGUACCUGAAAUCGUAAGCCUACAAGCUGUCUGAGGACUAUGUCUGCCGCAAGGUAGAAAUGUCUAAGGGCGUGCCUUUUGCAUAAUGAUCCUGCGAGUUACUUGUGUGCAGCGAGGUUAAUCAGCAUUGAGCUGAGGAGCCGUAGCGAAAGCGAGUCCGAAUAGGGCGUCCAGUUGCAUGCAGUAGACCCGAAGCUGGGUGAUCUAUUCUUGGCCAGGCUGAAGCGUGAGUAAAAUCACGUGGAGGGCCGAACCCGUUAGUGUUGAAAAACUAUGGGAUGAGCUGAGAAUUGGAGCGAAAGACUAAUCAAACCCAGAAAUAGCUGGUUCUCCCCGAAAUAACUCUAGGGUUAGCCUCGUGUAAAUGGGCGACAGGGGUAGAGUACUCGAUGGGCUAAGGACCCCACCAGGUUGCUGAACCCAACGAAACUCCGAAUACUGUCGUACCUUAUCACGGGAGUCAGCCUACGAGGGAUAAGCCUCGUGGACGCGAGAGGAACAUCUCAGACCGCUAGCUAAGGUCCCUAAUAUACGUUAAGUGGCAAAGGAUGUGGAUUUACACAGACAACCGGGAUGUUGGCUCAGAGGCAGCCAUCAUUUAAAGAGUGCGUAACAGCUCACCGGUCGAUUGCGAGUCCGCGCCUACAAUGAUCGGGGCUAAACGUAUAACCGAAGCUGCGGAUUAUUGCCGAUUCGUCGGUAAUAGUGGUAGGGGAGCAUUCCACGUUAGAGUGAAGGUAGACCGAGAGGACUACUGGACGAAGUGGAAGAGAUUAUGCAGGAAUGAGUAGCGAAAAAGCACGUGCGAAACGUGCUCACCGAAAGUCUAAGGUUUCCUGGGGAAGGUUAAUCCGCCCAGGGUUAGUCGUGCCUAAGCUGAGGCCGAAAGGCGUAAGCGAUGGACAGUGGGGCAAAAUAUUCCCACACCAUCUAUUUGGCGCUAUCAGUACGGAGUGACGCAGGAGGUUAAGUCUACCCGGUUUUGGAUGUCCGGGGUUGCGCUUGUAGUAUUCCGCGCAAGCGGGAUACAAGGAGCGCGAGGAUCCCAAUCUACGGAAAGGGAGAACUGGCCCACACCAUACUGCCAAGAAAAACCUCUGUUACGAGUCAAGUAGAUGCACGUACCGCAAUCCGACACAGGUAGACGGGCAUAAUAUGCUCAGGUGAUCGAGAGAACCCUCUUUAAGGAACUCGGCAAAAUGACCCCGUAACUUAGGGAAAAGGGGUGUCUCCGUUGGUGAGCUGUACAAGCAAGCUGACGGGGAUCACAGUUAAGAGGAUCAGAUGACUGUUUAGCAAAAACACAGCACUCUGCUAAGUCGUCGAUACAAGACGAUGUAUAGGGUGUGACACCUGCCCGGUGCUGGAAGGUUAAGGGAAAGGGUCAGUCCGAGCAAUCGGACGAAGCCUAGAACUGAAGCCCCAGUAAACGGNNCGCACGAAUGGUGUAACAAUCUGAUCGCUGUCUCAAAGAGGGGUUCGGCGAAAUUGUAGUGGCGGUGAAGAUGCCGUCUUCCCGCGAAUAGACGAAAAGACCCCAGAACCUUUACUGUACUCUGGUAUUGGAUUUUGGUCCAGUAUGUGUAGGAUAGGUGGGAGCCUUUGAAGUCUCGGCGCUAGCCGGGAUGGAGGCGACGUUGAAAUACCACCCUUAUUGUAUUAGAAUUCUAACCUCGUCCCUUCUAACAGGGCGUGGAACAGUGCUAGACGGGCAGUUUGACUGGGGCGGUUUCCUCCUAAAGAGUAACGGAGGAGCACAAAGGUUCCCUCAGUGCGGUUGGCAAUCGCACGGUGAGUGUAAGGGCAGAAGGGAGCUUAACUGUGAGUCUGACAAGACGAACAGAUGCGAAAGCAGGUCCUAAUGAUCCGGCGGUUUAAUGUGGAAUUGCCGUCGCUCAACGAAUAAUAGGUACUCUGGGGAUAACAGGCUUAUCGGUUCCGAGAGUUCAUAUCGACGAACCGGUUUGGCACCUCGAUGUCGGCUCAUCGCAUCCUGGGGCUGAAGUAGGUCCCAAGGGUUUGGCUGUUCGCCAAUUAAAGCGGUACGUGAGCUGGGUUUAGAACGUCGUGAGACAGUUCGGUCCCUAUCUGCCGUGGGCGCAGGAUUCUUGCGAGGCCCUGCCCGUAGUACGAGAGGACCCGGGCAAACGAACCUCUGGUGUUCCAGCUGUCACGCCAGUGGCAAAGGCUGGGUAGCCAUGUUC